This is a non-coding RNA of Taeniopygia guttata (zebra finch), 755 nucleotides long. NCBI's taxonomy places the organism in Eukaryota, Metazoa, Chordata, Aves, Passeriformes, Estrildidae. The record is from RefSeq and is a predicted model, not a curated record.
CUCCUUCUGCCAAGCCUAAGCAGCAUAACGGGAUCAUUUUGUCAUUCAAGUUCCCACUUAGUUAAUCACUGUGACAUCUUCAAAUCUCUGCAGUGUAUUUCACACAGAAUGUCUGCGCAAAGCAAAGCAGCCCCACCAGCCCAGCACAAGCUCCUGAGCUGUGCCCAUGUGGGCAGUCCUGCCCCCAGGAGCACUGGGCUUGGCAUCCUGUCUUACCUGUGUGCUUGGCCUUACUAACAACCCUGUUCUGGUUGGUUCUGCUCCCCAUCGUUCCUACUUUUUUGAUCUGUGAUAUCAUAAAGACCUCAGUUCAGAGAAAUUCUUCGGCACAUGCUGCUCUGCUUUGGCUAAGGCAGACCCAUGCAAGACAGAUCUCAGACCAAGGAAGGGGACUAACAAGGAAUAAGGAGGAAAUUCUCCAUGGACCUUUUAGGUACAAGCUGUAGAUGUUACCAACAUCCUCUGGCCUUUCCUAAGGAAGUUCCUGUGCUCAAGACUCUGCCUUAUUUGAAGUCUCCAGCUGAGUUUGGGUAAUCAUUACCACAGUCUGAGAUAGAGGAAAAUGCUAUGCCACACUGAGGAUCAAAUGUCAGCUAAAUGCUGCUUGUUGAGCUGCUAACAUUGCCAGCAGCAGCUAUACUUCCUGACUUAAAGGAAAUUUAAUGGCCCAAGAACAACUCGUCAAGGUAUACAUGCAAAAGAAAAGGCAUCACCCUUCAUAUCACUAGCAGCAUAGGACCAGGCUCUGGACUGGG